CCUUUUCCUUUCCUCUCCCAACACGCAACCUAUCCUUUCUCUUCUUUCCCGUUCUUCCAUCGGGAGGAGGGGCGAAGGAGAAAGAGAAGGAGGUGGGGCAGAGGAGAAGGAGGAGGGGACCUGCGAGCACGCCACCGGCCGUGCGCCUUGAGGGAGGAUUGGGUGAGAGGAGAAGGCGGCGGCGGUAGUUUCGAUUUGUGACCUGCCACCGGCGCCGCCACAAGGACGGAUGACAGGAUCUGAGGUGAGACUGAUCCCUCCCCUCUUCUCGUGUCCCGUGGAGGACGAUGACAGUGCAAGCAAUGAUGGCCUCAUAUCGGUGGCGAAGCAGGAGACAUGUUCCUCGAGGCGUCGAUGAGCUCUGGCAAGCUCCAGAUUGAGGGCUCCCUCAGCUUCAAGAGGUUGAGGUGGUGGAGACCACCGUUCCAUGGUGUCAUUGAUGAGGAAGUCCAGCCGUCUUCGUGAUGGUUUCACCUGCAUCGAUCCCCUUGUAUCGCUAAAAGUCCUCCUCCCACGUCCUUCCACAGAUUUUUUUUCAACCCUCCGAAAACCAAACGGUUCCAUAAAAAAACCGCUUCGACCUCCACUCUGACGAUCGACGAGAUGAGGCAGACAGGCACGCGGCCUGCGAUCCCUCCUUCCCGCACCCGCUCGUGGUAAAACCGCACCUCCCCCUCCCCAUCAUGAUCUAUCUCUGGCGGAUGAGAACCGCUGUCCCCCAGUCCCAUCACAUCGUACGUGCCAAUUGAAUUCCCUCCCUUCGUUCUUUCACAUGUCACAUGUUUUUCAGAGCGAGGAUCCUGUCCUCGCUCUCACCCGCGCCACCACAGAUCGUGACCCGGCGAUCUGUUCGUAAACAAGCUCGGCGGCGCAACAUGAAGUGCUCGUAAGCAGCGUGUGUCCGGCUGCUAUGCUGCUGGUCGGACUGAGAUCUUGGCGCAGCUGCGUAGCAAGCUGGUGUGUAGCAGCGGGGAGGAAGAGCUCGGCCGUCGUCGACAGCGUGGCCGGCUGAUCUGUGGGGCGUGGAAGUUGAGGUGGAAAGAAGCACGAUGGACUGCUCUAUAGUGGGUCAGAGGUAGCGCUUUAUAAGACUCUAAUAGAGGGAGGAACCGAGGAAGGGAGUUCUACUGGCUCUUGCAUGGCAUCCAUGGCAUCAUGCCCAUGUAAAGGGUCUGCUAACAUGCAUUGUGGUUCUUAUCAAGGUUGCACGUGGUCGUAACACUAACGAAAAUUAUGUGUCCAUGCUGCGAAAAUUGCAUAUAUGUUCGAUUCAUAUGCAGAUACAAUAUCAUUGGCUUUGAGCCCUUGACUAGAUCAUUCUUCCCCGGCUGGUAAUUUUGCAUUUACUUUGAGUGGUUACAAAGCUCUGAAGUAUGCAUCUUGAGGAGUUUACUCGAUGAAGACAGAAGUGUUCAGCUUUGGCGUUUAGGUUCUCGUGAUUAUUAGUGGCCGAAAGAAUACCGUGCUCGACAAGCAAGGGGAUAUUGUUGGUGAUCUUGUACGAGAUGCCUGGCAUAUGUUGAAGGAGCAAAGGUUGCAUGAGCUUGCAGAUCCAUUGUUAGCGGACGGAUAUGAAAUCACUGAGAUAACCAAAGAGGGA
Hordeum vulgare subsp. vulgare (domesticated barley) is the source of this 1600-nucleotide long non-coding RNA. RefSeq lists it as uncharacterized. The record is from RefSeq and is a predicted model, not a curated record. Lineage: Eukaryota; Viridiplantae; Streptophyta; Magnoliopsida; Poales; Poaceae. The transcript has 5 exons.